UACGUAGGGGGCAAGCGUUGUCCGGAAUCACUGGGCGUAAAGCGUGCGCAGGCGGACUGAAAAGUCAACUGUGAAAUAUCCGGGCUCAACCCGGAGGGUGCAGCUGAAACUCUCAGUCUUGAGUACGGGAGAGGGGAAUGGAAUUCCUAGUGUAGCGGUGAAAUGCGUAGAUAUUAGGAGGAACACCAGUGGCGAAGGCGAUUCCCUGGACCGAAACUGACGCUGAGGCACGAAAGCGUGGGGAGCAAACAGGAUUAGAUACCCUGGUAGUCCACGCCGUAAACGAUGGGUACUAGGUGUCGGAUAUGAGAAUACUCGGUGCCGCAGUAAACACAAUAAGUACCCCGCCUGGGGAGUACGGUCGCAAGACUGAAACUCAAAGAAAUUGACGGGGGCCCGCACAAGCGGUGGAGCAUGUGGUUUAAUUCGACGCAACGCGAAGAACCUUACCAGGGCUUGACAUCCCUCUGACAGGGUCCUAACCGACCCCUUCCUUCGGGACAGAGGAGACAGGUGGUGCAUGGUUGUCGUCAGCUCGUGUCGUGAGAUGUUGGGUUAAGUCCCGCAACGAGCGCAACCCUUAUCCCUAGUUGCCAUCAUUAAGUUGGGCACUCUAGAGAGACUGCCGGUGACAAACCGGAGGAAGGUGGGGAUGACGUCAAAUCAUCAUGCCCCUUAUGCACUGGGCUACACACGUGCUACAAUGGGCGGUACAAAAGGAAGCGACACCGCGAGGUUGAGCAAAUCCCCAAAGCCGCUCACAGUUCGGAUUGCAGGCUGCAACUCGCCUGCAUGAAGUCGGAAUCGCUAGUAAUCGCAGGUCAGCAUACUGCGGUGAAUACGUUCCCGGGCCU
RNAcentral lists this ribosomal RNA (854 nucleotides) under uncultured bacterium. RNAcentral describes it as "SSU rRNA". It matches the Rfam family "Bacterial small subunit ribosomal RNA", at positions 524 to 1381 of the family's 1533-position model. The record is from RNAcentral.